This 429-nucleotide ribosomal RNA is filed under the name Chloroflexota bacterium. RNAcentral's name for it is "Chloroflexi bacterium partial 16S ribosomal RNA". It matches the Rfam family "Bacterial small subunit ribosomal RNA", at positions 355 to 776 of the family's 1533-position model. Lineage: Bacteria; Bacillati; Chloroflexota. The record is from RNAcentral.
UGGGGAAUAUUGCACAAUGGGCGCAAGCCUGAUGCAGCCAUGCCGCGUGUGUGAAGAAGGCCUUCGGGUUGUAAAGCACUUUCAGCGGGGAGGAAGGCGAUAAGGUUAAUAACCUUGUCGAUUGACGUUACCCGCAGAAGAAGCACCGGCUAACUCCGUGCCAGCAGCCUCGGUAAUACGGAGGGUGCAAGCGUUAAUCGGAAUUACUGGGCGUAAAGCGCACGCAGGCGGUCUGUCAAGUCGGAUGUGAAAUCCCCGGGCUCAACCUGGGAACUGCAUUUGAAACUGGCAGGCUAGAGUCUUGUAGAGGGGGGUAGAAUUCCAGGUGUAGCGGUGAAAUGCGUAGAGAUCUGGAGGAAUACCGGUGGCGAAGGCGGCCCCCUGGACAAAGACUGACGCUCAGGUGCGAAAGCGUGGGGAGCAAACAGG